GAUGAACGCUAGCGGCAGGCCUAAUACAUGCAAGACGAACGGUAAGUUGAGUAGCAAUACUUAGCCAAGAGUGUCGUACGGGUGCGUAACACGUAUGCAACCUACCCUAUACAGGAGGAUAGCCUAGGGAAACCUGGAUUAACCCUUCAUAGUAUUAUUGGAUGGCAUCAUUUGAUAAUUAAAACUGAGGUGGUAUAGGAUGGGCAUGCGUCUGAUUAGUUAGUUGGCGGGGUAAUGGCCCACCAAGACGAUGAUCAGUAGGGGUUCUGAGAGGAAGAUCCCCCACACUGGCACUGAGAUACGGGCCAGACUCCUACGGGAGGCAGCAGUAGGGAAUAUUGGUCAAUGGAUGCAAGUCUGAACCAGCCAUGCCGCGUGCAGGAAGAAGGGCCUUCUGGGUUGUAAACUGCUUUUGCCAGGGGAUAAAAUUUCCAUGCGUGGAAAACUGAAGGUACCUGGUGAAUAAGCACGGCUAACUACGUGCCAGCAGCCGCGGUAAU
RNAcentral lists this ribosomal RNA (500 nucleotides) under uncultured bacterium. RNAcentral describes it as "bacterial SSU rRNA". It matches the Rfam family "Bacterial small subunit ribosomal RNA", at positions 28 to 524 of the family's 1533-position model. The record is from RNAcentral.